GCUUGUCUCAAAGAUUAAGCCAUGCAUGUCUAAGUAUAAACUAUUUUAUACUGUGAAACUGCGAAUGGCUCAUUAAAUCAGUUAUAGUUUAUUUGAUGGUACCUUACUACUCGGAUAACCGUAGUAAUUCUAGAGCUAAUACAUGCGUAAAGUCCCGACUCUCGCGGGGAGGGAUGUAUUUAUUAGAUAAAAAACCAAUGCGGGCUCUGUCCGGUUUUGUGGUGAAUCAUAGUAACUUUUCGAAUGGCAUGACUUCACGUCGGCCAUAUUUCAUUCAAAUUUCUGCCCUAUCAGCUUUCGACGGUAGUGUAGUGGACUACCGUGGCGUUAACGGGUAACGGAGAAUUAGGGUUCGAUUCCGGAGAGGGAGCCUGAGAAACGGCUACCACAUCCAAGGAAGGCAGCAGG
This 408-nucleotide ribosomal RNA is filed under the name uncultured Protaspa. RNAcentral describes it as "partial small subunit ribosomal RNA". It matches the Rfam family "Eukaryotic small subunit ribosomal RNA", at positions 30 to 432 of the family's 1831-position model. The record is from RNAcentral. Lineage: Eukaryota; Cercozoa; Thecofilosea; Cryomonadida.